GAGAGUUUUUUAUGCACCUUUAACUUUUGUUCUUAUUCACAUUCAUUUGCAUUUUUUGAUAAUGUUGGAUCGAGUUAAGGUGAUUUGCAAAGAUGCCAUAUCAGUAACCAUUUUUAUUAUUGGGUUGUGGAAAUGGCGGCUUUCUGUUGCAGAUUCAGAACUAGCUGACCACAUGGGCAUCACUCAUUUAGGGAAACCAGUUGAAGAAUUUGUAGUUUAAUGUUGUCCAAAAUGCUAAUUAAGCUGCUUUGACUCUGUUUCUUGUCAUUCUGGUUGUACAGUUGCCUACUAUCUGGGUAGUU
This 302-nucleotide unclassified non-coding RNA is filed under the name Hevea brasiliensis (rubber tree). The record is from RNAcentral. Lineage: Eukaryota; Viridiplantae; Streptophyta; Magnoliopsida; Malpighiales; Euphorbiaceae.